UCCUCUUUUUCUCCGCCACACACACACACUCACACACACACAUACACAUACACACACGCUUCAUUCGGUGAGCUCGUUUUCCUUCUUUCAGCAAACAGGUUGAUAUGGUGAGACAGAGCUGCUGGGUGGGCUCCACCGCGGGAGUGGAGGGCCCUCGGUUCAAGGCUAUCAAGUGAAGUGUUCUUUGAUAACACACAGACAAAAAAAAAAAGAAAAAAGAAAUGAGCUAAAAAUUUUCAGUGAUAAGUGAAAAACGUGGCUGGGGCAGUUCUCGGGGUCGAGCUGUGGGAUGCGACAAAGAUUAAUAAAGAGAGCAGGUCUGAGGAGGGAGAGGGUGACGGUGAGGUUAGCUGGAGGGCCAGACAGCGCUAGAUGAAAGUGGGAACUCUCUCCCACAGCUGUCAGCAGUUUUUAAUGCAAACUUUGCUAUUGAUUGGCAGAGCCGGCCAGGUUCUACCACCAAACUUUUCUAGUUUCUCGAGUGUUGGAUGGAUUGAGUGGCACGAAGAGUCCAGUAUCAGGUGGAGACUUCAGGGGCCAGAGGCACAGUUUGGCAGGGUCGACCGAAGGUUCCUGGGAGUCCUCGGAGAGAUGAGAUGAGGUUAUGAGAGGUCAUGUAGAACAGCUCGGUGUGACAGCAAAUCAGAGGCCACCCCUCCGGAUGGAGUCACGUGAAACAAAAGGAAACAAGGAGAUGAAACACAAACACAAACCUCUGUGGGCAAACUCCAUCACCUCAGCGCUCUCUGCGGCACCGGUCACUUAUGGCCACAUUACAUCGUCAUAAAUGGAAA
Long non-coding RNA from Epinephelus fuscoguttatus (brown-marbled grouper), 794 nucleotides. RefSeq lists it as uncharacterized. The record is from RefSeq and is a predicted model, not a curated record. Lineage: Eukaryota; Metazoa; Chordata; Actinopteri; Perciformes; Serranidae. The transcript is spliced from 3 exons.